UACGAAGGGGGCUAGCGUUGCUCGGAAUCACUGGGCGUAAAGCGCACGUAGGCGGAUUGUUAAGUCAGGGGUGAAAUCCUGGAGCUCAACUCCAGAACUGCCUUUGAUACUCACGGUCUUGAGUUCGGGAGAGGUGGGUGGAACUGCGAGUGUAGAGGUGAAAUUCGUAGAUAUUCGCAAGAACACCAGUGGCGAAGGCGGCUCACUGGCCCGAUACUGACGCUGAGGUGCGAAAGCGUGGGGAGCAAACAGG
This 253-nucleotide ribosomal RNA is filed under the name uncultured bacterium. RNAcentral's name for it is "partial 16S ribosomal RNA". It matches the Rfam family "Bacterial small subunit ribosomal RNA", at positions 524 to 776 of the family's 1533-position model. The record is from RNAcentral.